Molecule: ribosomal RNA, 26 nt
Filed under: Colletotrichum falcatum
Lineage: Eukaryota; Fungi; Ascomycota; Sordariomycetes; Glomerellales; Glomerellaceae
Description: partial 18S ribosomal RNA
Source: RNAcentral
CGAUUUUGACCAGCGGAGGAUCAUUA